This 465-nucleotide ribosomal RNA is filed under the name Vreelandella stevensii. RNAcentral's name for it is "partial 16S ribosomal RNA". It matches the Rfam family "Bacterial small subunit ribosomal RNA", at positions 338 to 795 of the family's 1533-position model. The record is from RNAcentral. Lineage: Bacteria; Pseudomonadati; Pseudomonadota; Gammaproteobacteria; Oceanospirillales; Halomonadaceae.
CCUACGGGGGGCUGCAGUGGGGAAUAUUGGACAAUGGGGGGAACCCUGAUCCAGCCAUGCCGCGUGUGUGAAGAAGGCCCUCGGGUUGUAAAGCACUUUCAGUGAGGAAGAACGCCUGGUGGUUAAUACCCAUCAGGAAAGACAUCACUCACAGAAGAAGCACCGGCUAACUCCGUGCCAGCAGCCGCGGUAAUACGGAGGGUGCGAGCGUUAAUCGGAAUUACUGGGCGUAAAGCGCGCGUAGGUGGCUUGAUAAGCCGGUUGUGAAAGCCCCGGGCUCAACCUGGGAACGGCAUCCGGAACUGUCCAGCUAGAGUGCAGGAGAGGAAGGUAGAAUUCCUGGUGUAGCGGUGAAAUGCGUAGAGAUCGGGAGGAAUACCAGUGGCGAAGGCGGCCUUCUGGACUGACACUGACACUGAGGUGCGAAAGCGUGGGUAGCAAACAGGAUUAGAUACCCUAGUAGUC